Molecule: ribosomal RNA, 441 nt
Filed under: uncultured bacterium
Lineage: Bacteria
Description: partial 16S ribosomal RNA
Rfam family: Bacterial small subunit ribosomal RNA
Source: RNAcentral
CCUACGGGAGGCUGCAGUGGGGAAUAUUGCACAAUGGGGGAAACCCUGAUGCAGCGACGCCGCGUGAGUGAAGAAGUAUUUCGGUAUGUAAAGCUCUAUCAGCAGGGACGAGACAAGACGGUACCUGACUAAGAAGCCCCGGCUAACUACGUGCCAGCAGCCGCGGUAAUACGUAGGGGGCAAGCGUUAUCCGGAAUCACUGGGUGUAAGGGGAGCGUAGACGGCUGAGCAAGCCUGAAGUGAAAGGCGGGGGCCCAACCCCCGGACUGCUUUGGGAACUGUACGGCUGGAGUGCAGGGGAGGUAAGUGGAAUUCCUGGUGUAGCGGUGAAAUGCGUAGAUAUUAGGAGGAACACCAGUGGCGAAGGCGGCUUACUGGACUGUAACUGACGUUGAGGCUCGAAAGCGUGGGGAGCAAACAGGAUUAGAUACCCUUGUAGUC